UACUAGAGUAGCACUCGCAUAUCAAUAAGCGGAGGAAAAGAAACUAACAAGGAUUCCCCUAGUAACGGCGAGUGAAGCGGGAAGAGCUCAAAUUUGAAAUCUUAAAGGGUUUCCCUUUACGAAUUGUAGUUUAAAGAAGUGUUUUCUGUUGAGGUUUUGGUAAAAGUUCUUUGGAAUAGGACAUCGUAGAGGGUGAGAAUCCCGUAUUUGACCUUUACUUUCAACUUUGUGAUACACUUUCAAAGAGUCGGAUUGUUUGGGAAUGCAGUCCAAAAUGGGUGGUAAAUUUCAUCUAAAGCUAAAUAUUGGCGAGAGACCGAUAGCGAACAAGUACCGUGAGGGAAAGAUGAAAAGAACUUUGAAAAGAGAGUUAAACAGUACGUGAAAUUGUCAAAAGGGAAGCGUUUGACACCAGUGUUGUUUUUCUGAAAAUCAAUUAAAGAACUGUUUAUGCUAAGUUGUUUAGACUUUAUCAGCUAACUGUUUAGUUUUGAGCUUUUCUUUAAUGCACUUUUCAGUUAACAAGUCAACAUCAAUUUCUUUUGCUGUAAAAAAGCUUGAGGAAGGUGGCUUGAGAUUCGUCUUAAGUGUUUAUAGCCUCUUGCCUAUGCAGUCGGAGAGAUUGAGGUCUGCAGCGUAGAUCCUUCGGGGCUAAAUGCAUUUGUGCUAAGUUAUAGCAUUUUAUAGACAACUUGUUGACUAUGAUUUGUCUUGUAGCUUACUCGCUUAUGUUAUUUUACCUACGCUUAGGAUGUUGAGCGCAUGUCUCUCUCU
RNAcentral lists this ribosomal RNA (774 nucleotides) under uncultured Neocallimastigales. Its description in RNAcentral is "partial large subunit ribosomal RNA". It matches the Rfam family "Eukaryotic large subunit ribosomal RNA", at positions 20 to 616 of the family's 3401-position model. The record is from RNAcentral. Lineage: Eukaryota; Fungi; Neocallimastigomycota; Neocallimastigomycetes; Neocallimastigales.